RNAcentral lists this ribosomal RNA (396 nucleotides) under uncultured bacterium. RNAcentral's name for it is "partial 16S ribosomal RNA". It matches the Rfam family "Bacterial small subunit ribosomal RNA", at positions 523 to 918 of the family's 1533-position model. The record is from RNAcentral.
AUACGUAGGUGGCAAGCGUUGUCCGGAAUUAUUGGGCGUAAAGCGCAUGUAGGCGGUGCCUUAAGUCUGUCGUGAAACUGCGGGGCCUAACCCCGUAUGGCGAUGGAAACUGUGGCACUUGAGUGCAGGAGAGGAAAGGGGAACUCCCAGUGUAGCGGUGAAAUGCGUAGAUAUUGGGAAGAACACCGGUGGCGAAGGCGCCUUUCGGGACUGUGUCUGACGCUGAGAUGCGAAAGCCAGGGUAGCGAACGGGAUUAGAUACCCCGGUAGUCCUGGCCGUAAACGAUGGGUACUAGGUGUGGGAGGUAUCGACCCCUUCCGUGCCGGAGUUAACGCAAUAAGUACCCCGCCUGGGGAGUACGGCCGCAAGGCUUAAACUCAAAUGAAUUGACGGGG